RNAcentral lists this long non-coding RNA (6083 nucleotides) under Marmota monax (woodchuck). The record is from RNAcentral. Lineage: Eukaryota; Metazoa; Chordata; Mammalia; Rodentia; Sciuridae.
GGGGUGGUUGUGGGUGUUUGGCUGAGAUUUCCAGAUCUAAGUGGCUCUUUUAAUGCUGAACUGGGCUGGAAGCCAGUUGGUUGUGCCUAGAAAGAAAGAAAGAAAGGAAGACCUGAAAGGACCUCUGAGCCCAGAACCAGCCAGGCCCACCCCUCCACCUUCCUUGCCUGCUCAGCCUCUCCUGUGCAACCCAUCUUGAGGAAUCCUUGUUGUCCUUUCUGCACACAGAGGGCACACUCGGGACAUAUUUAGACUUGCUAUGUACCCAGACCUGAGGGUACACAAACAUGAAGAUACACAGACACACCUAAUCUGCCAAUUAUCAGGGGACUCUGGGCGACAAAUUUACCCUUCGAUUUAUGCUCUCGAUCAAGGAGAGAAUCCCUUUAAGUGUUUUUCAAGUGGACACAGUGACAAGCUUUUCAACAGAUGGUGCUAGAGUGAUGUCACAAGAACAAGGGUUUCCUGCAGAUUCUGGAUGUGCCUCAGUGGGUUUGCUUUAUGAGUUGAGAAUACCCUGUAGAGCCAGGGCCUGCACCCUGGGGAGUCAGAGAGAUUAGAGGAGCCACCUGGCUUCAACUCAACCUUCCUGCAGUCCUAGAAACAGGGAAAGACCCUGGGGCUUCCUAACCACUAUGCCUGGGAUUUCCUCUGCUUGUACCCUUCCCCCAGGUCUCCCAUGGUCCAAGCAGUGUUCCAGGCCUCCUGCUGCAUCUGCACCCCACUCUCACUGGGAAGCCAUUAGGGCCACCAGUUUCAGUUUGCCUGUCCUGCCCUGGUCUGCAGGGCUGAUUCCUGACUACCCCAUGAUUGCAGAGCUACUCUGGCUCAGCAAACAAGUGCAGUUCUUGGCCAUUCAGUAGGUUCAACAACGACGUUUCCAAAGGGGCCUGAGCCACAGGAAAUUUCUAAUAUCCUAUUAUUACCUUUUUAAUCAUAGCUUAAUAAUUCUAUGUUUUAAAUUUCCCCUCUUUAGAUUACUUUGUGAUCUCUGUCUCCUAAAUAGCUCCAGAGUAUUGAAUCCCUUCAGAGUUCAAAAUCCCAGGUGUGCUGUAUGAUCAUAGGUGGAGCCACACAAUUUAUAAAAAGGCUUAGACUCAUAUACAGAAAUCAAAUCGUGACACAGUACAUAUACAUAAGUACAUGUAUUCAUACAUACCUGGAUACAUAGAGUGUGAAUUUUUUUCCAAGUGCACAGUGUGGGAUUUUGGACAACUAAAUUGAUGGUGCAAUUAAUUCAUUAUUGCAAGAGCUGACCUUGCUCUCUCUGGUCCCAGAAAGAUAACAUAGGAGCUAAGAGAAUACCAGGGAAGACAUAUUAUGAUUUUGUCUUGAGACUUUCAUAAUUUUUUCUUCCAAGGGGUCCCCUUGUUCUUGGUUGAAUCAAAGUGUUAAAUGAAAUUGGGUUUAGCAAUCAAAGUGAGACAAAAACUGGUAGUCAGGGGUAUUUAUGCCCAACUCUUUAAAUUUCUGAACUUCCCCUAAAUGCUUGCCAGUUGGGUUUGCCUGCCAGUAUGAGUAUAGGGACAGAUGAAUUCCUUGAUACAUUUGCAAAUGGUAUGUGCAUUGUUGUAUAAUUGUCUUUGUUGAAAAGAAGGCCCAUGAUAUCUUUGGAUUCUCGCAGAGUUUGUGAGAAGCAAGGAAAAAAUACUAUGAGUGGAAACACAGGACAGUACAGGAUAGAGAGUGUACAGGAUAGAGAGUAUGAGAGGGAGAACAUUUUAGCCACAAGGGGCACUGCUGACAGAGACAGGUACUGUCACUUGUCUCUCAGUCAGACCACAUUGUAGGAUUUCCUGCCGACCAUGAACAAUUUCACCGAAGACCAACUUAAAACAAAACCUCUCUGUAUGAAACAUGAAAUCACUCCAAAAUAUCUCUACAUAUAGAGAAAAGAGAUGCUCUGUGAACCACAAAAGUGGAAAACAAGCCCUUCUCCUGCUUAACAUGAAUAUUAGCUGCUCCUUUACAAAGUAUAGCUUUGCCUCGCUCUACUCCACUCAUCUCACAAAAUUAAGAUACCCAAUCAGAGUUGCCCAGCUUCCUGACAGUUUCUUAAACUUCCCCUCAAAUCACCCAACACCAAACCAAAUCCCAUGAAAAAGUUUGGUGGACUGUUGUGUGUAAUUACCCUCCUGCAAAAGAUAGGAAAAAGAAAACUCAAAUCUGAAAAUAAAAUAAAAUAAUUGACUUUGACUGUGUUUUCCUGAUAGCCUUGGAGGGUGAAGACAGUCCCACAUAUUGCCUCUGUGAUGCAUGCAGCAUCCUGUGGAAAAGGGAAUGGGCUCAAAAUCUUAUUUUAUACAGGUCAAGACCAACAUUGAGCCAGUACGUGGUUUGUCUAAACUCACAAUCAUGAGUCAAAACCAAUACUUCUGAUUCUAAACCCACCCUUUGCCUCCCAGAUGGGAGUGUGCAAGAACACUGCUUCCAAGCUAAGAAAACUAUGGUCCGUCAUCCUGCAGAGGAGGAAGGCCUGUCUGAAGCAGACUGCCUUGGGGAGCUGUGCCAUGCACUCUUGGAGUGGACCCCACAAGUGUGCAACAAUGCACAGCCAAGGCAGUGGUGCCCUCUUUCACACAACAGAGAACUGAGACCAUAAAGGCAUUAGAAUCUGGCCAAAUUAGACAAAGAGGAAAUGGCAGAGCUGAGAUUCCACCCAGGCUAACAAAGGAGAUGGGAGGGCGACACCUUCCUACAGGUCAGAGAGGCAGUCAUCUCUGCCAGCCUCUUGGGGUGAGGGAGAUUCCAGAGGAGCUCUCAGAAGGGAGGCAGUGUUGGGAAGUCCCUGAAAUCCUGAAGAAAGUGGGCUUUUAUGUGGGGUAAAGAGCAGAGUGUGUAAUCAGAGGCUGAUGCAUGUAGAGAGAGGCAUCUCAUGGUGCAGAAGCUCUAGCUGGAGAUUGGAGAGCAGGAAGGUGCUCAUAAAUGGGUGGUGCUCAAAUCUGUGGGUCAAAUGUCAGACUGACUUCCUGCACAGUGCCCUCCCAACCCAGCCCAAUCCCGGGAAAUGUCAUGUUUGGGCAAUGCAGUUUCUUGGCCUUCGAACUUAGUACACAGUGAAGGCAAACACUGUGGUUCAAGUGAGUAUUUCCAGGGUGACCUAAUGUCAAUNAAAGAAUGGUCCAGUGGAAGGGACCCUGAAAGGGAAUCUGGCUCACACACUUGUGGUAUUUGGGGGCCCCUAUGAGGCCCCCCAUAUGGGCCUGAGGCCUUGUGUGAUGCUCAUAUCAUGGGGUCCCUCAAUGUCCCAAGCUAACGUGACAUUUUCAUGACAGCUGCUAUUGUUUUAAUCUAGAAUAUCCCCAAAGGUCCAUGUAUUAAAGGCUCGGUGCCCAGGCCACAGCACUUUAGGAAAGUUGUGGAAACUUUAAGAGGUGGGGCCCAAUGGGAGAUUUUGGGUCACUGAAUGCUUGCCCCUAAAUGGGAUUGUGCAGUACUGAGUUCUUUCUCUCUCUCAUUCCUGGCCAUGGGGUCAACAUACUUUCUCUACCAUAAUUUUCCACCAUGAUGCUUUGCCUCACUACAAGUAGAGAAGCAAGCACAAAAGCAACUGGACCAAGCAGCCAUAGACUUCAAAACUGUGAACCACAAUAAACCUUUUCUUUUUUCAUAUGUUGAUUUUUUUCAGGGAUUAUGUUAUAGUGAUAGGAAACUGACUAAUCCAGAAGAAGAGCUAGAAGAAAUUUAGUUCAGAAUUGAGUGAAUUAUGCUUCAUAGUGUAUAUUGUUCCAUCCCUUCUACACUAUCCCAGUUGAUUACUGGAAUAUGCUCAUUUAUCCACAAGAUACCCAUCCUCUUCCCAGACUUGCUCAUCUUUUUUCCCGCCCAUGUCCCACAAAAGUGGUGGAAAUAGAGUUCCUCUGCCUGGAGUGAGCUGGCUACGAAAUAAAGCUAAGGAAAAUAAAGGUGGUGAAAAAAACACCACAAGACACAACACCGAAAGUAAUUUUGAAAGGCGAGGGCAGGACGGCUCUACAACCUUAGGGGUUGAGCUUCAACACUGUAAAAAGAGAAAGUGAGAACCCAUGUUUGGUUUAUUCAUAUGGGGGGAACAUCAAAGAUUUUUCAAUAGAAUGUUCUUUUGCCAAAUAAGGUAGGAGGUGAGCUGUCCAGGCCCAAGGGUUUACACCCAAUUCCAGAGCUAGGAGAGCAGAUUUCCUAGCCCAGCAAAGACUGAGGUCACAGCAUUGUGUAAUCCAUUAAGUGGGAGGAGCCAUAAAAUGACUUGCAAUGCCAAACCAAAAUCUCCUUUGCUCAAGUCCCAUGAAGAUGCUAAAUAGCUCAGGAGUGGCUUCCCACAACUUUGUCUUGUUUUUUAAUUUUAAUUGUAUGGUACUUAUGUAUUUAAAUUGGAAACUUGUGUGCACUUGAAAACAUCUUCUUGUUCAUCACUUCAUAUUCAAUCAAUUCUCAAUGUAGGUCAGCUUUUCACCAUUAGGACUCUCUUCUAAUCUUUCUCUACACUGUAGUCAGAACAAACCUUAUAAAAUUCAAAUGUUAUCAUCUCUUUCCUUCUGAAAUGCCUCCAAAGACCUGUGGGAAAAUCCCCAAAGUUUUUCACACAGUUGACAAGUCCUAUUAUCAAUCAGUGCAAGCCUCCUCUCCUAUCACAGGGACCUCACACUGUGAACUGGGCAGACUGAAUAGUGUUACCAUUGGGAAGCCAGCCCACUCUUUUUUACCUUCAAACCAUUGCACAGGCUAUUCACGUUGUGAAACUUGGACAAAGUUCUAAGGGAAGCUUGAAUGGUCUUUGCAACACUCACAGAUUUCUAAAAACUCCUUUUGAAAAACUUUUUUCUUUUGAAAUCAUUUUAGUCUAACUUAGCAGUUGAAAGAAUCAUAAAGAAAAUUACCAUGUGCCUUUCAAUCAUCAUUGUUCACUAAUGAAUGACAGGAUCUAACAUACCAUAGUACAAGUAUUCAAACCAGGAAAUUGAUUAAUACAACAUUAAGAUACAGAUGCUGUUUGGAUUUAGCGAUUAUUUAUCUAGAUACUUUUCUUUUUCUUCAGGUUCAGCUCUCUGAAGAUUCUUUUUUGUAAACAUAAGCUUUUGUAACUACCAAGAUACAGAAUAGUUUCAUCACCCCCAAUAAAACUUCCCACUAGAAAUCUUUAUAGUUAUUCUAUGCUUCUAUUCCUAUCAAGAACUUAUUUGUUCUCUUUGAGUAUAGAUAUGUCUUUCAAGAAUGUUUUAUAUGAAAAAUCAUAUACCUUGUAAACAUUUGAAAUUAAAUUUGUUUUGCUCAACAUAAUAUUCUUGAGAUUAAUCCUAGUUAUUACAUGAGUCACUAGUCUGUUCCUUUUUCCCCUGUGCUUUCAAUCAUAUGAUGUACCACAGUUUAUCCAUUUACAUGUUGAAAAUAAUUUAGUUAUUUUGAGUAUUUUUAGUCAUUGAAACUGAACUUUCCAAAAUGUGAAAUAAACCUAUGGUGAAAUGCUAUUGAGCUUCAAAAAUGAAUGAAAUUACAAUACAUGCUGCAACACGGAUGAAACAAAGAUAUUCUGCUAAAGAAAUAAGUCAGGAACCAAAUGAAAUUCGUUGCAUGGUUUCAAGUAUAUGAGAUGCCUAGAAAAUUUAAAUUCAUGUAGACAGAGUGUGGAAGUGGUUACCAGCAGUUGGAUGGGGUUGGAAAUGGACAGUUACUAUUCAAAUGGGAAAAGAGUUUCAGUUCGUGAUGAUGAGAUUUUUCUGAAGAUAGAAAAUAGUUAUGGUUGCUCAACAGUCUGCAUGUUCUUGCUGCCACUGAGUUGUAUAUUUAAUAAUGGACAAAAUGUUAAAGUCUGACAUAAAAACAGAAAAAUAAAUUACUAUUAUAUGACACAGUAUAAGUGUGAAUGAAAUGUAAGUGUAUCUAAGUGUAAAUAUGAAAGAAAACAAUACAAGCUAAGAGGACAGAGAGGCUGGGUAGGACUAGUUUAUGUAAGAUUAGACAGGAAUCUCUGAGAUGGGUGUAUUUUAAGAGAAUGGAAAGAGCCAGCCUGCCAUGCACAGAAGGGAGGGCAUUUACAGGCAGGGAGAUGUCAAAUGUGGAGCCUGAGGCAGGAACCAUUGUCCAGUGGCAGCAAGAGGUCUGCCAUG